This 782-nucleotide non-coding RNA is filed under the name Dorcadia ioffi. Lineage: Eukaryota; Metazoa; Arthropoda; Insecta; Siphonaptera; Vermipsyllidae. The record is from RNAcentral.
UAAAAGUUUGAUUCUUGCUUAAAAAUUUAUUUGAAAUUUAUUAAUACAUGUAAAUUUUUGUGUGAAUAAAAUUAAUUUUUAAUAAAUUAUAAAUGUAUAUAUUCGCAGUAAUUAAUUUUAUAAAUUAUAGAAAUAUAGAUUUAGUAAUAUUUUAUAUUAUUAGCAAAAAUUGUGCCAGCAGCUGCGGUUAUACAAUUAAUUUAAAUAAAUAUUAUAAGUUAAUAGUUAAAUAUAAGAUUAGAGUAUAAAAUUGUAAUUUUAAGGUGAAAUUUAUUUUACGAUAAAAAUUUAUUUAAUAUGAUUGAAGCUAUAAAAAUUAAGUAAAAAACUAGGAUUAGAUACCCUAUUAUUUUAAUUAUAUUUAUAUACUUAAGUAGUAGUAGUUAUAUGCUUGAAACUUAAAGAAUUUGGCGGUAUUUUAAUCUUUUCAGAGGAACCUGUUCUGUAAUCGAUACUCCACGUUUAAUUUUACUAAAUUUUAUUAUUUGUAUAUCGUUGUCGUAAGAAUAUUUUUUAAGAAAAUAAAUUUUCUAAAAUUUAUAUUUAAAAUAAUGUCAAAUCAAGGUGCAGUUUAUAAUUUAGUAGAAAUGGGUUACAAUAAAAUUAUUUAAAUGAAUUUAUAUUUGUAAUAAUAUAAUGAAGGUGGAUUUGAAAGUAAAUUUAUUUUAAUAAAUUAAGUUGAUGAUAGUUCUAAAAUAUGUACAUAUUGCCCGUCGCUCUUUUUAUUUAAAAAAAGAUAAGUCGUAACAUAGUAGAUGUACUGGAAAGUGUAUCUAGAAAGA